GAGUGGAUGUAAAUGUUAAGUAAUUAAAAUGCGUGAUAUCAACAAUAAAAUGUUAAGUUUGUGUCUUUACUUUAAUAUAUCUAGUUUUAAAUUAAUCUGCAUUUGUUCAAAAAACAAGAAAAUGUGUAUUUUAUUCCUUUACUAAAUUAAUCUAAGUAAUCCCAGCCAAGCUUUUUAGGUACACACGCACAACAAACAAUACCUUGUUUUAUUUACUCACUUGGUAAAAAAAAAAAAAACUCCCCUUCCUGUUUCGUUGGUCUGGAAACCCCUUGCAUUCCUAACGAAGACGAACACGCGGACUGAAUUUAAGGUGAUUCUCCUGACAAUAGGCUACACUGGAUAAAGGUUUGUGAUGACGAUGAUGCUGCAGCCAUCCAAGAGGCCAUCACUUCAUUUGUGCUCAACAUCUUUGUGGUCAGCAAAGCCAGGGAUGGAGGUCUCGAGAAGAAAGUUGGAAUAGCCAUUGAGGGAGCGGAGGUCCUUUUUUGCAUUCCCAGUGUAGCACAUGCUUGCUCCUACCUUAUGGGCCUUAUUUAUGCUUUGGAACUAAGCUACCCAGAGAAACUUAAAUACACCUUUGAGGUAUUUCAGAAGAUCUUCCUGGAGCUGGAGGAUGUUAACAAAAACAUGUCCUCCAAAAUCCACGAUCACAAGAUCAGCUUACUGGCCUAAAAGCGAUACAGACAUUGUUGAAUGUAGAGGGUUUGAGUCCCUCUGGUAAAGUUUUACUGUGCAAUUUCUCAGGUCUUUUUCAGUGCACUUUCUCAAGUCACACUAAUCCUAUUUCAUAUAGGGACCAUGUUUGUGAGUGUUAAUGUUAAAGGUGCAGUUGAAGGAAAGAUGACAGUUAAGAAGUCAGAAACUAUAUUGCACAAUGUGAGUUUUUUUCAAUAGAAACCCAAAGAAACUGAAAUGUAGGUUUCUUAGAAGAUCUCCAUUGUCACACGGGGAUCAUACAUAUGAUCAUACAUGUGCAAGCGUGUUGUUUUAAAGUCUUAAGAGUAUGUUACUGUACAGGACUGAAAAACGCAAUUUUAUAGAAAAUAUUCUGUAAAUGUGUCUGAAUGGUUUCUUAUGAAGACAAUAAAGCCUGUCAACUUUCACUUAA
This is a long non-coding RNA of Carassius auratus (goldfish), 1111 nucleotides long. RefSeq lists it as uncharacterized. The transcript has 3 exons. NCBI's taxonomy places the organism in Eukaryota, Metazoa, Chordata, Actinopteri, Cypriniformes, Cyprinidae. The record is from RefSeq and is a predicted model, not a curated record.